Non-coding RNA from Rattus norvegicus (Norway rat), 2793 nucleotides. The record is from RefSeq and is a predicted model, not a curated record. NCBI's taxonomy places the organism in Eukaryota, Metazoa, Chordata, Mammalia, Rodentia, Muridae.
UGCAACAGUCCCAGCUCUCUGUUCGACUGCGAGUAACAACGCACUGAACUUCCGCGAUACUGGGGCUUCUCCAUGAGACAUCCAGGCCCACCAGAUCCUGGCUUUUUACUGAUAGUCUUUGCUUUAUCCCUGCCCCUCCAACACAGUCAGAGGUAGAAGACAAGUGCAUCCAUCGGAUGUUUUAGCAUUCCACGGUUUCUAAAUCCAUCACAAUGCCACCCGCGAGGUCAAUGUCAAAAACAUGAAUUGAAAGUUCUGCAUUAAGUUCCAAGAAGAAACAGCUCAUUGUUUGAACAGGGAUUCCACUAUCUGCAUCCUGAACCUAAAAGCUUGCUCCUCUGAACUGAAGAGAAGUGAACCAUGAAGAGACAGCAAAGGAGUCAACCCCAGGCCAGCCAUACUUGAGAGUCACAGGGUUUAUGGAAUGUUUGCCUAACAUACAGAAAGCCUCUCAAGAAUUGUUUUGUGAACAUGCUAGUUCCUUCUUGUUUAAGGUGGGAUAAAACUUUGUUAGUAUUUCUGUAUGGGAAGGAGGUCCAGCCUCAUAUUUGGUCACUGAAAAACUCUACUACCUUUCUGGUAUUUUCAGUAGUUCUCAAAUAAAUUCCUAACUCUUGUCCUUGUUGUAAGGCUAGAUCCUGGGACAAACAGAGAUAUCAAGAUGCAUAUGGGCCAUGUGGUGUCUUGAAUGAGAAUAGUUCACAUAGGUUCAUGUACUUGAAUAAUUUCUCUAAAGUUGGUAGAACUGUUUGGGAAGGAUUAGGAGGUGUGGGCUCAUUGGAAGAGGUAUGCUGCUGGGGGUGGGCUUUGUGGUUUCAAAAGUCUACAUCCUUCUAAGCUAUAUCCUGCGUCCUUGCCAAGUGUCAUUGUAUCUACAUGUAAGCUUUCAGCUACUUCUCCAGAGUAAUGCUUGCCUGCCUGCUGUCAUGCUCUCCAGCCUGAUGGUCUGAGACUCACCAUGGUAAGUAAGCCCCCAAUUAAAUGCUUUACUUUCUGAUUUCUUGGUCAUGGCGUUGUGUCACAGCAACAUAAAAGUAAUUAGGACAGGUCAUAAAGUGACAAAUAUUUUCAUUUUUACUUCAAGAACUGAGGUGGUAGGUGUUACAAAACCUGAAGCCUUCCUUCAUCGGAUCUACAUGAGCAGCUAUCAUUCUAGUUUUGGAACAAAACCAACAUAAAUGUGUCAAGCCUUUAUAAAAGAUGUGGUUUUAUGGUAGGCUUAUUCAAAAACAAUAGGUAAAUCAACAAGCUAUCCAAUUUGGAAUAAAAUGUGCAAGGUUCACUGACCUAAAGGAGUACAGAAAAUCUAUUGUCUGAACAGCAGCCUAAGUAGACAAAUGAAGGGGGCACAUAUUUCACUGGAGAGUGACACAGUGUGAGAAUAGGAACUGUCCUGUAGUUUAGAUUAAAGUGUAAUUUGAAUCUAAAAUUAAAAUUUGAUGAAGCCCUAUCAGUGGCUGGGGACUCAAAGAGUCAUAACUUAUAAGUGGUAAGAAUCAUUAGCUUCCUCACACAUACAAAUUAGAAAACUGAGAUCCACACAUUCUAUAACAAUGUGAUAGGUAGGGAAAUGUCUAAUUACCCACCCGUCUGUCUCUGUAAGUACUUUUAGUAGGAACGUUUCCUUAGGAAUGUAAUCUGAGGGAGAAAAUUAGCAAUUCUUACCACUAUGAUUUUAGACUUGGCUCUAUGACAUGUUUUGAUUGAUGGGAUAAGUGCCAAUCUGCUAGAUAUAUUAUAUGAGUAAACUAUAAUAAGAAAGAUGUGCUUCAAAAUAGCAGUGUUAAGAUAAAAUAAUAUGGAUGUAUAGGUUAAGAAUUUCCUGAGCAGACAAAACCUGUUCGGCCCUGGGAGCAAAACUCAUUGAGCUCUUGCAAAUGCCUGUUUCAAUCAUUCAUGACCCACCAACUAGUGUUACACAGAAAGCCAGGGUUCCCUUUUGAAUUCUUAUCCUUGUUAAUAAAAUAAUUUAGAAACGUACCAGGAAGAAAGCUCGAGGAUAUUUUUGUUACAUUCACGAAGGAAAUCAGCACGACAGGCAAGCUGCAUGGAAAUCUGAGCAACUGCAGGGAAAAGAGAAGUACAAAAAGAAAUAGAAAAGCGUGUGACUCUUGAGUUAGGAUCAAAGGAAACUGACAUGUUUAUCAAUGGAGUCAUCUAGCAGCUGCACAGAGGGUGGUGAGGUGAAGGAGACUUCCCGGAACUCAGGAGAAUGUCCAGUGUACCUAGGAACAUUUGCUUAGAAAGGGGAAGCUCUGAGAUUAGAACUCAUCGAGGUAGACUUAACAGUGAAGAUCCAAAAACUACUUGCAGGAAGAGUUGGGGGGAAGUACGAAAACAUUAUAUCAUUGAGGGGAUAGCAUUUCCAUCUGCUUAGCAUGUCUUCAAGUGAGUCAUGUUUCCAAUGGGGUGUUCUCCCAGCCAGGUGAUUAACUGACAAGGGAUGAAGCCAGGAUAUAUAAUGUUGAUCUUUGAAGCAAAUCAGAAUGUCACUUGUCUACUCAAGGCCAGAGGUAUACUCCAUUCUUUUGGCCAGGAUGUUCAAGAAAAGGUUAUUUGUGAUAUUUUCUUUUCUAGUGUUAUCAAUAUAAGGGGGGGUCCAAAGUAGACCAUAAGAGAUGGUUCCAUACUCAAUGGUUUCCAAGGCUACCAAUCCCUGCGUAUUAACUACAUAAUUGUGCCUCUCAAUGAUGCAAUAAAGCCGUCACCUUUCUUCACUCCCCUGCUGCUCGAUACCCUCAUUUGAAUAACCUGGCUGUGUGUGCAUUUACUCUCCCCUUCAUUUUGUACUCA